This 1106-nucleotide long non-coding RNA is filed under the name Ananas comosus (pineapple). RNAcentral describes it as "long non-coding RNA (ACOM_LNC044416)". The record is from RNAcentral. Lineage: Eukaryota; Viridiplantae; Streptophyta; Magnoliopsida; Poales; Bromeliaceae.
UACUCCAUUUUAUAAUUAUAAUAAAAGAUCUUAAUCAUUUAUUAAUAAAAAAAAUAAAAAUUAUUAGAUAUUUUAGACUAAAUUAUAAAAAAUCUUCUUAUAACCUCCAUUCAAAAACCUAUAUUUUACCCCGCUAACAUUUCUAAGUUGUUAAAUUUAGCCUCCUUCUGUUAGGGUUCUAUCACUAUUCUGUUCAUUUCUUAUAAUUUAUAUCGAAAAUAUCUUUCAAAAUGACAAAUAUAUGAAAAAGUUAUUUUUUCCCUUAUAGAAGAAAUAAGGGUAAUUUGGUUAUUUUACCCUCUUUGUUAACGCCGCACAUCUGAAAAUAUUUUUGAAAUUUUAAGGAGGCAAAAUAUACGUAGAUUUUUAAAAAUCAGAGAGAAAAAAAUGAAAAAACAAAUAUUUAUAGAGAGAUUUUCUGUAAUUUAACCUAUAUUUUACCUUGUAGCGGGUCAAAGUGUCACACCCCAAUAAUCCCACAUCGGAUGGGAAUGAGGAUGUGAUUAGGUAUAUAAGAGAUUUAGACACUAGUAAUAAUAACUGGACUUAAGCAUUUUGGGCCAGUGGUUGGGCCUAACGAGUUAUUAUUGCUAGCGGGUUUGGUCGUUACAUUUGGUAUCAGAGCCAAUCACCAGCCGAAAAUGUGUGGCGAGUCUCGGCUGAGCCAGGGUCUGAAAGACAAGGUGAUAGGCUAUGUCGGAGUCUGAAUGACAAAGGUGUCAGGGUCUGGAUGACAAGUCUAGUGAGAGGUAUCACCUAGUGAUCUUGCGUUGUGUGUGUGAUUGGACUGACGAGGACGUCAGGGCCUUAACGUGGGGAGUCUGUCACACCCCAAUAAUCCCACAUCGGAUUGAAUGGGGAUGUGAUUUGGUAUAUAAAAGACUUAGACACUAGUAAUAAUAACUGGGCUUAAGCAGUUUGGGUCGGUGGCUAGGUCGUUACACAAAGAUUACUUUAUGUUGAGAGUAUUUUCAGAAUAAAUAUUGCAAAAUUUAAGAAAAAUCUAGAUUAAUAUUGUAAGGAAGUGAAUUCUCGAAAUUCGAGAGUUGGACUUCGCUCAGAAUCGACUAAUUGUCGAGUGGGUAUACUUCGAAAAAGCCGAAGAA